Sapajus apella (tufted capuchin) is the source of this 75-nucleotide small nucleolar RNA. RefSeq annotates it as small nucleolar RNA SNORD113/SNORD114 family. The transcript has a single exon. The record is from RefSeq and is a predicted model, not a curated record. Lineage: Eukaryota; Metazoa; Chordata; Mammalia; Primates; Cebidae.
UGGACCAAUGAUGACAAACGGUGGCAUGGGAGUUACGGACGAUGAAUAAUAUGUGUCUGAAACUCUGAGGUCCAA